RNAcentral lists this ribosomal RNA (1360 nucleotides) under Neoflabelliforma dubium. Its description in RNAcentral is "SSU rRNA". It matches the Rfam family "Microsporidia small subunit ribosomal RNA". The record is from RNAcentral. Lineage: Eukaryota; Fungi; Microsporidia; Dubosqiidae.
CACCAGGUUGAUUCUGCCUGACGUGGACACUUGUCUCGAAGAAUAAGCCAUGCAUGUUCGUGAAGCUUUUAGUGAAACUGCGAAUGGCUCAGUAAUAUGGUUCUAAUUUAUUCAACGCGUAGUGGAUAACCACGGGAAACUGUGGCUAAUACAUUGACAAGAUAUUGUAUGUGAAGAAGAUAUCAGAUGUUGAGUAAGGGACCAGCCUAUCAGUUUGAUUGUAGUGUAAAGGACUACAAUGACGAUGACGGGUACGGGGAAUCAGGGUUCGAUUCCGGAGAGGGAGCCUGAGAAAUGGCUCCCAGUUCUAAGGAACCCAGCAGGCGCGAACCAUUUUCAAUCUACAAGGGAAAGUGUGAAGAGACGUGAAUCAAGAGGUACUCUAAAACGGUACUGAUGAACUAGAAGGCAAGCGAGGUGCCAGCAGCUGCGGUAAUUCCCCCUCUAGGAGUGUCUGUGAGUAUUGCUGUGGUUAAAACGUCCGUAGUUGAUAUAAAGAAGUAGGGAAAUCUACUUUUCUUGGUUAUGGAUAAAAGAAUGUGCUUAAAGCGAUCUAAUCCAUAAUACUAGAUGUGAUAAGAGCAGAUGAGGAACACAGGAUUCUGCAGCGAGAGGUGAAAUUUGAUGACCUGCGGGGGACUAACAGAUGCGAAGGCGGUGUCCUAGGAUGUUUCUGUUAAUCAAGGACUAAAGCCAGAGGAUCGAAGGCGAUUAGAGACCGUCGUAGUUCUGAGCUGUAAACGAUGCCAACAGUACGAUGUGAGAAUUUGCAUUGUAUAAGAGAAAUUUAGUGUUUGGGCUCCAGGGAUAGUACGCCGGCAACGGUGAAAUUUGAAGACAUUGACGGAAGGACACCACAAGGAGUGGAGUGUGCGGCUUAAUUUGACUCAACGCGGGACAACUUACCAGGGCCGGAUGUACGGGUGAAAGAAAGGGCUGAGAUGCCCGUCUUGAUUGUACAGAGAGUGGUGCAUGGCCGUUCUCAACACGUGGGGUGACUUGUCAGGUUAAUUCCGGUAACGUGUGAGACCCUCGAAAUACUGGGAACGUAAGUUUCAGGAAGGAAAGGGCAAUAACAGGUCUGUGAUGCCCUCAGAUGUUCUGGGCUGCACGCGCACUACAAUAGAAGAUGUAAUUUGGUGUAAAUUAAAAAUCUUUUGAAUGUUGGGAUUGAGUUUUGUAAAUGACUCAUGAACAUGGAAUUCCUAGUAAUUGCUAUUUCAUUAAGAAGCGAUGAAUGAGUCCCUGUCCUUUGUACACACCGCCCGUCGUUAUCUAAGAUGGAUGUGCAGGUGAAGUGAGUGUGAUAGCUAGCUGAACCUGUAUAACUAGAUCGGAUACAAGUCGUAACAAGGUAACC